Gopherus flavomarginatus (Mexican gopher tortoise) is the source of this 434-nucleotide long non-coding RNA. RefSeq lists it as uncharacterized. The record is from RefSeq and is a predicted model, not a curated record. The transcript has 4 exons. NCBI's taxonomy places the organism in Eukaryota, Metazoa, Chordata, Testudines, Testudinidae.
GGGAGGUUCUGGUAGGGGAAGGGUCGGAUCUUGCAGGAGGAGGAAGGAUGGGGGCAGGGGGAGGUUCUGGUAGGGGAAGGGUCGGAUCUUGCAGGGGAAGGAAGGAUGGGGGCAGGGGGAGGUUCUGGUAGGGGAAGGGUCGGAUCUUGCAGGAGGAGGAAGGAUGGGGGCAGGGGGAGGUUCUGGUAGGGGAAGGGUCGGAUCUUGCAGGGGAAGGAAGGAUGGGGGCAGGGGGAGGUUCUGGUAGGGGAAGGGUCGGAUCUUGCAGGAGGAGGAAGGAUGGGGGCAGGGGGAGGUUCUGGUAGGGGAAGGGUCGGAUCUUGCAGGGGAAGGAAGGAUGGGGGCAGGGGGAGGUUCUGGUAGGGGAAGGGUCGGAUCUUGCAGGGGAAGGAAGGAUGGGGGCAGGGGGAGGUUCCGGUAGGGGAAGGGUCGGA